GAAUUAGGACUGCUGGAGAUGAAAAUUAACUAAAAAAAAAUGUUGUUGCCUUCUAUCCCGAGAAUCUCACAGCUGGGUGUAGUAAAUCUCACACCUAGGUGUGGGGUUUGCUAUCCCAAAAAUCAACUGUCCAAACUUGCUAUAAAUGGCUAUUUUCCUCCAUUUUCACACUAGCAUGCUUCAAUUGUUGCUUGACUUACUUUUUCACUAAAAAUUGUCCCGCAUCAUCAUCAAAGACAACAAAAUACUGUCGAAUUUACAUUUGAACAUACAUUUAAGAUUUGUGAAAGCAAUUUGGGAUUUGGAGUAUCUUGUUUGCAAAAGCUUAUCCUAAGAUUUUGUACUUUGUAAUGAUAAAUGGCAUGGGUAAAAACAUAUACUGGUCCUAUGGAUGUACUUUUGGAUUUAUGCUUUGAUGAAGAAUGUUGGUAACUCGAUAAGACUAUAAACAAGGGCUUCACUAGGAAAAGAUGAGCAGUUAAACAGAGUAAACGGCUAUAGCUAAAUUGCAUUUGCUGAAAUGGCACUGUCACUGUGUAACCAUCAAUACACCAGUUAAAUGAUGUUUUGUUUAGCAUUUGGUGGUUUUAUAUGAUUCUAUUAGUUAUUGCACAACAUAGAUUGUUGUGUAUGGGAAACUUAAAAAGUGCCAGAAUUCAAUUCAAUUAAUUUCAUUUUGCACAAUUAUUGAGUUUCAGUUAAGUAACAAACAUAGUUAUUAAAGGCGCUCAAGGCUUACCAGGCUCGAAC
RNAcentral lists this unclassified non-coding RNA (750 nucleotides) under Hevea brasiliensis (rubber tree). Lineage: Eukaryota; Viridiplantae; Streptophyta; Magnoliopsida; Malpighiales; Euphorbiaceae. The record is from RNAcentral.